Non-coding RNA from Schistosoma mattheei, 45 nucleotides. The record is from Rfam. Lineage: Eukaryota; Metazoa; Platyhelminthes; Trematoda; Strigeidida; Schistosomatidae.
AUCCACCCGACGAGUCUCAAGUAGGACGAAACACACGUCCUGGAU